This 11840-nucleotide long non-coding RNA is filed under the name Vitis vinifera (wine grape). RNAcentral describes it as "long non-coding RNA (VVIN_LNC007501)". Lineage: Eukaryota; Viridiplantae; Streptophyta; Magnoliopsida; Vitales; Vitaceae. The record is from RNAcentral.
CGAGAUGGAGUCGGUAAAGACAUCAGGGAUGUGCAAUCACAGGCAUCUAAUAAUUUUAUGCUUGGUGGAAGCUUCGGAAUUUUUUGAAGUUGCUCACACUGCCUCACCAAAAGAACUUUCAGAUUAGAAAGUUUACUGAUGUCUGCAGGUAUGCUAACCAUAUAGUUUCUGCUGAGAUUUAAUACUUCCAGACGCUCCAAGUGGCAAAGCUUGUUAUCGAUUGUUCCUUCCAUUCAAUUGCAGUCACUUAGAUCUAAAUUUUCUAUGAAGUGUAGACCUGACAAAGAAGGCAACUGCAAACCAAUCCCAUCUGAAUUUUUUCUAUGCAGUAACCUGUAUAUAAGGGAUGAGAUCCAGAAGUUAGAUGUUGAUCCUUUGCAUCCACUAAAUGAUAACUCUGUAAGGUUUGUCAAAUGAACAAGUGAGAUAGGUGGUUUUGUUAUGGCAGUUCCAUCAGCUUGAAGCCUUCUUAAGCAUUGCAACAUUCCCAGGUCCUCUGGCAAUCUGUUGAGUUUUGAACAACUAGAAACAAUGAGGGUUUCAAGAGAUUUCAAAUCACAAAUGCUAUUUGGAAGACUCCUGAGGUCUUUGCAUUUCCUCAGAUUCAGUAACACAAGACCUUUGAGAUGAAGAAUUGAACGGGGCAGCUCUCUUAUAGACGUUCCAUCUAAAAGAAGCUUUUCUAAAUGUUCCAUAACUUCCGUGAUUUCUGGAAAUCUCUCUAGUUUUGAACAGCCAGAAAGGAUAAGAGUUUUAAGGGAUUUCAAAGCACAAAUUCUGCCAGGAAGGAUCUUAAGGUUUUUGCAGCUUUUCAUAUUUAAUAAAACAAGCCCUCGGAGAUACCCAACCGAUGAGGGAAGUUCAAUGAUAGCAGUGGCUUCCAAAUUAAGCUCCAAUAAAGACUCCAUAUUGGCUUCGAUGUCUGGAAACUUCUCAAGUCUUGAGCAGCCAGAAAGGUUAAGAACUUUAAGAGAUUCCAAUCCAGUGAUUCUGGGAAAACAGUGAAGCAUUUUGCAGUUUCCCAAAUUCAACGUCUUAAGAUUUUUCAGCCUAGCAAUUGAUGGGUGCACCUUAUGCAAACUUGUACAACCAUCAAGAUUUAGUGUCUCCAGAGAUGGUGCACCAGACACGUCCGGACAUUCAACCAGGCAUGGAGAGUGACUGAGAUCCAUGACCUUCAAAUUUUCAAGACACUGUAACAUAAAAAUAAAAUAAAAAUUGUUGAAUAAAUUUUCUUGGAAGAACUUCAAAAUUUAUUGAGAAUAAGUAGUGAUCAUACCUUGUUCCCUUUCCAAAGGUGUUUUAAGCUGCUAUGCUUCAAAGUGAUUUGAACCAGUUUCUUACCAUCAAAAUUUGAGGGCAACGAUUCCAAACUCCAUCCAUCCCAAUGAAGAUAUCUUAAUUCAUAGGAAGGAAAUUUGAAUUCUUGAGGGAGGUGCACUGUGUUAGAACCAUAUGAUGAAAGUCCAUCCCAAUAGACCCUGAGGAGUCUUAAGUUUUGUCAUAUUUUUAAAAGCUCUAGUCGUAAACUGUAUUUCUAUUGAUGCCGACAUAUCAAAGGAUAUUCCUUGGAUUGCCUUUGUCCACUAAAACCAACAACAGGGGAUAAGUGAAGCACAAAAUGCUUAAAAUCAUAUACAUAAGCAACUUCUUUAAGUGAAAUUAAAUGCCUUAAAAGUUUAAAUAAGUUCAGGCACUUGGCUCUUACCGUAUUUUGUGUCAACACAGCAUGGACAUCUUCAUGGAUUCCACAAUCUACUCCAUUUGCCAGGUCUUCCAGGAAAUUCUUCCUUAAUGAUUUCCCAACCCAUUUUUUGCAUCAAAUCAUGCAUUUCUAUCUUGUUGUCUAAAAUACUAAUGAGAGAACGAUCUUUGAGAACUUUCAUUCCAUUUGCAGAGAAGUUGCAACUAUCAAGUAUUCUUCCAACAGAAUCUGAGUCCUUCCCUCUGAAGAAGCAUGCAAUAUCAAGGAAUAGAUCCUUUUCUGUGCUAUCCAGUCCAUCGAAACUUACUCUAAGCAUUUGUUGGAUUCUCCUGUCCCCUACUGUUUGUUGCUUAAGCAGUGCAUUUUCCCAUGCAAGCUCCGUCUUGCCACGCAGGAAAAGUCCCAGAACUUUAAGAGCUGCCGGAAGUCCAUCACAGUAAUUUAAUGCAUGUCCGGAGAGCUCCCAAAAACCUUCGUCAGGAAAGUCUGCCUUGAACACAUUCAAACUAAACAGUUGAAGAGCUUCCUCAACUUUUAAUUUCUGAACCUCAUAUAAUCCAUCAACUCCAUACCCAUCUAGUAAAUGUUUGUCUCUCGUUGUUAUGAUAAUCCUACUACCUGAACCAAACCAUUGAUGGCUCCCUGCCAACAAUUCUAAUUGAGUCAAAGCACUAACAUCAUCGAGAAUGAUAAGAACCUUUCUAGAGAAAAGUGUCUUCUUUAUCAAGCUAAUGCCUUCAUGAAUGUUGCUUAUGUGUACAAAAUUUUCCCGUAGGAUAUCUGCUAGAAGUUGUCUUUGUAGUUCAAGCAAUCCAUGCCUUUCCACUGCCUCUGCAACAUGUGGCAAAAAGCUAGCAUCUUCAAAUUGAUGAGCAAUUUGGUUGUAUAUUCCUUUGGCGAGGGUAGUCUUGCCUAUUCCAGCAAUUCCAUAUAUUCCUAUAAUGCGAACAUCAUUUGACUCCAUACAUAAUAGUGACGACAUUUCUUCCAAACGGGAAUUGAUUCCUACCAGAUGGUCAUCAAUAGUUAAGAGUUCAGGAUGACUGAUCAGCUUUUUGGAAAUGUGUCGAACAAUUCCUUUAAUAAUCUGAGAUUCGUACCUGCCAAAUAAAAAGCACAAUAUACGAACCACAAAUUAAUUGUAAGAAAGGCAGGGAAAAAAUUAAAAUGAUGAUGUUUAAUUUCAAUAUUUGUCAUGCUAUCAAUUGAUUUAUCCUAAUGCCUAAUUCUGAUCAAUAUUACUAUCAUGGAGACAAACUCAAAACGCAUAUGACUAACUGGAAUGGGCAGAGCACAUAUAUAUCCAAAAGAAUUGAUGUUAUAUAUAUGUAUAUAUAUAUUUCCCUUUGAGGCUCUCUUUAUGAAAUAAAUAAAUAACAAUAUAUUGGACUCUAUAUUUUUUCCUUGAUCAUAUUUUCAACUUUUUUUUUUUUUAAUAAAUGAUGAGGAGCUUUUGAUAAUGCAAGAAAUUUUAAAAUAAUUUCUAUUAUAUUUGAUUUUCGUUUCUAUUCUUCAUUGCCUUUAAUUUUCUUGACAAUUUCCAUUUGAAUAGUGGAUCCUGUCCUUGAAGGUAAGGAUCAUUUCAACCCACGAGAGUUUGUUUAAUGAUGUGAUUUAAAAACACUUUUCUUUUUUUGAUGAUAAAAAACUAUUUUAAAAAAUUUAUGGUUGGCUUAGAAGUCAUUCUCUAGAUAUUGUUUUCAAAAAUAAGUUGAAAUAAAUAAUAAUUUUCAAGGAACCCGUAGAAGUUAUUUUCACAUGUUUAUAAAAACAAAAAAAAAAAACAUGGAGAAAUAAUUUUAUUAAACCAAUAAAAGGCACAUAAGUAUGAUGUGAUCUCUUUCUUCUUUGAUUCUUUCUUCACCAAUAAAUAUCAAAAUUCUUUAAAUAUGAUUUAUUUCUUAAUUAUAUGUGCUUUUUUGAAUUUUCUUUAACUUCUUAAAUUUUUAAUUAGAUAAAAAAAUUUCAAAUCAAAUAAUACUUAAUACAUAUGAUUUACUAAUUUUUAAAAAUAAUUUAAAACUCAAAAACCAAUCCAAUUAGUGUUAGAAAGUUAGUGAACUCAAUCUAAUUGACAUCAGAAAUUCACAUACUAAUCUUCAUUAUGAAUUACUUUGUUAGUUUCUCUUUUACAUAUGAAUAUAUGUUUGUUAAUUUUUCUUUUUUACUAAGUAAAUAAAUUUCAAAUCAAAUGAAACUUUAUGUUUUUUAUUUAAAAUUCACAUACUAAACUCUAUGUUUUGCUAAUAAUUUAAAACUUAAAGUAAUUACUUAAUUAAUAUAAUAAAUUUGUGGACAAAAAUUAGUUUACAAUCAUUUUAUUCUUUCCCUUCUACACAGAACCAUAAUUUUUUUUUUAAAAUUUCUAACUAAACAAACAUAUUUCAAAUCAAACAAGAUUUGAUGCAUUGGAUUCAUUACCAAGUUUAUUAAUUUUUUUUAGAAUAAUUUAAAAUUCAAAACACAGCACAAUUGCUAGUGGAAAUUCACAAACUUAAAUUGGUCCAAAAUGAAUAUUUUAUUUUUCUCAUACAAAACUAUAUUUUUAUGAGUUUUAUCACUAGAAAAAUGGAUUUUGAAUAAAAUAAAACUUAAUUUCUUGAACUUAUUAAUGAGUUUAAUAAUUUUUAAAAAUAAUUUAAAAUUCAAGAAAUUUUCAAAUCACUAUAAAAAAUAACCAAAACUAAUACAUAAUAAGUUUUGACUUUAUUAUUUCUUCUAAGCACCUAAUUAUAUUUUUUGAAUUUUAUCACUAGGUAAAUAGAUUCUAAAUCAACCGAGACUUAAUGUUUUAAAUCUUUAAUAAAUCUUCUUACUUUUAAGAUAAUUUGAAAUUAAAAAAAAUGAUCUAAUUAAUUGUAGAUUAAACCAAAACUAAUCCAAAAUACUAUGUACAUAAGUGAAUACUAAAGGUGUAGAUGUAAUGAAAAACUUUGCAUAUUUAAAUAUUAAAAAAAUAUUUAAAUUUAUUUAUUUUUAUUUAUUUUAAAUAAACUACUAUGAAUUUAAAAUUAUUAUAUUUUUUUUGAAUAAUAAAUCCAUUAUGCUUUAGAAAGAUGUUGAGAUCCAGAUUUUUAUAAUAUAUAUUAAAAUACUAUCAUUUUAUAUAUAUAUAUAUAUAUAUAUAUAUAUAUGAAAAAGAUUUUAAUACUAAAGUACUAAAAAUGAUUUGUUUUUAAAUUUAUUUGUAAUUAUAAAACUAUUAGUACUGAAUAAAAUAUGAAUUCAAUUUCAUUAAUAUUAUAUAUAAAUUGAAUUAACAAAUUUUUUGACAAAAUUUAAAUAGUAAAUUUAUUUUUAAAAAUAAUUUAUCCAAAUGAGUAUUUUUUUUUUUUUAUUUGUUGAAAAGUGAUUUUAAAAGCAAGUUAUCAAGUACCAUUGUUUUUGAAAAAUACUAAAAAAUAUGGUAUUUGUUCUUUAAUUUAAAAAUAUAUUUUAAAAAUAAGUAUAAAAGUACAGUGCUAAACCGAUCUUAAAAUUUGAAUAUGUACAAAGCAUAUAGGAGGUGAGCAAUCAGGAAUACAAAGAAUUGACUAAGAUUCCAUUAAACAGUUUUUUUUCAAGAAGCACUCAAAGUAAAUUUUUAAUUUUUUUAAAAUGGUUAAAUUUUUGUUCAAAAACAUUUUUUUUUUUUCAAGUCUGCUUUCUAAACUCACUGCCAAAAUUAGUCAUGCUUUUAGGAUUUAAAAAUUAAACUCAGUUCCAACAUUGAAAAUCAAACAUGAAUAUCGUUGAUUAAUGAAAGAUUAAUUGAGAAUUCAGAUAUUAUAAAUGAAUGAGAGCAACUGAAACGGAAGAGAUGGAGUAGUUACAUACCCAUGCUCCACAUGCCAUCCAGCCAGAGAGCCAGCUUUCGUCAGUGCCGCCUUCCAUCUCUGCACCCUCUCCUCAGCGACUUCUCCGUAUCCUGCAAAUGCUUCUCCAAAACUGCCCCUUUGUUUCCGCACAUCAGACGGAUCCACAUGGUAGAAAACUGGUAAAACUAAUUGUCCCUUUUCCAUGGACUGCAUGAUCUUAUCAAGCUCAUCCAAGCACCAUUUUGAAUGAGCAUAGUUUUUCGAAAAAACGACAACAGAAAUACUUGAAUCUUCAAUAGCUUUCAAGAGUGAAGGUUGAAUCUCUCCUCCUCUUUCAAGUCCUUCAUCAUCUCUGAAGGUGCGAAUACCCGUCCGUCUCAACUUUUUAUAAAGAUGAUCCGUAAAAUUGAAACGGGUGUCUUCGCCUCUAAAGUUCAAAAAGACAUCCCAACGCCAUGGAAAAGGAGGAGAGAGAGUUGAUCUAGUUAAGCUUCUCUUUCUCUUUGGAGCCAUAGUCGGGGACGUUGUUUGUCCAAAAUUACAGAGACACUCAGGAAAUUUUUGGGUUGUUAAGUGUCAAAAACUCAAAAUUUCAAGAGAGUCAGAAGAUUUAUCCCUCUACCUUCUAAAAUUGGAACUUCCUCCCAUCCUCCGACCAACUUUAAUCUUCAUUUUUUCUUUUUAAAAAACGCGUGUCUUGGUCAAAAAGAAAAAACGUGUGGGGACGCUGAAUGGGGCAAAAUCCUCUCUUAAACGACUACAUCGUUUUAAAAAACGAAAAAACAAAGAAUUAAAACAGAUGAAAUAAUCCCGCUAACCUCCUACAAUUCCAUAAUUACCCCUUAGGUGACCCCCCUUUUCCCUGUUAGGGACAAUUUUACUCAAGGUCUUACUUAAAUACCAUUAUUGGUUUGAAAAUUUAUCAAAUAUCAUAAUUAUUUUGAAUUAGAAGGGAGUUCAGUGAAAAAUCAAAUAAGAAGGAUUUGAGAGAUGUGUGAUGAAAAUUUCAAAUCAAUAAAAAUUAAAUGUAUUUAGUUAAAACCUUAUAAAGAGUCUAUAAAAUUAACUUUUUUUAACUAUUUUAGAAUGGCGAUAUAAGCCAACCCUCUUUUUUGUCAAAUCCAUGUAAAAAAAAUAUUGAGUUUGCCCUCUUCCAUUAAAAUAAUAUUCUAAAUUUAUUAUUAUUAUUAUUAUUAUAUAAAGUAUAACCUCUUUUUAAUUUAUUUGAAUAUAUUUAUAAAUAAAAAAUCUGUUUGGCUCUUUAUGAAAAAUAUAAAUAAUUUUGAAAUAUUUAUAAUUUUAUUAAAUGUCUGGAAAUGAAUUUUAGCUAAAUAAAGGAUAAAAUGCUGUUUUAUUAUUUUCUCAUCAUGUGAUUAAUUGGCAGUUGAAAAAAUAGUGAAAAAAAAAUAAUAACAAAAUACUAGAAAGGACAGUCUUCUAUUUUGUAAUAAAAUAAUGAGAUUGAAUUCUCAAUAUCAAAAAACCCCUCUGAUGUUACUAAAAUUAUAUUGUUAGAUAAUUAUAUACUUUUGUAAAUAUAAAUAUUAUCCAUUUAUUUAUCAAAUUAUAAAAAUAUUAUUAUUAUAGUGAAUAAGUUUCCUUAUUUAUUUCAAACUUCAUAAAAUAAAUCAUAAAUUAAAAAAGAAAAAACAGUUCAUCUUUUCCUAUCCAUUUAUUUAUCUAUAUAUGUGUGUGACUAUGAAUAUAUUUAUUUGGAUUUCUAUAAUGUGGAAGAGCAUGUUUGAAGACUCUUUCUUAUAUUUUCGUCAGGGUGGCUGAAAUGAUCCGAGAAUUGCGUUUAUCAAUGUUUAGAUGAUGAUAUUUGGUGAGGUUUGGAUGGUGAUGGUGAUGGUGAUGUUACUCGACAAUAGAGAAUCCACAUCUCAACAUCAGGAGCAAAGGUAAGUUCUCAUCGCAUGCUUUGCUUGAUCUCCACCAAGUGCCCAUCUCAUUAAACAAAUGGGUUAGAUGAUAAACUAUAUUUAAUUCCCGUAUUUGUGAGCCCAAAGGCAAUCCUUGAGUCCAGAAUAGAAAAAUAAGGUUGCUUCAAACGUAAAGUUAUUGCUAACGACCGUUUCUUUAGGAAUAUUUUUUUUCUGACAAGUGGGUCUCUAUAUAUUAAGAGAUUAGAAAACAAAAUAGAAUGGGUUGGAGACCAUUGGAUAUGCUUUUGUCCUCUCCAAUCAAGAGAGGGUUAGUCAUGGGGCUCAAACUUAAUGGCUAUAUCAUAAGAUUGGCUGUAUGGAAGCUAGCUGUAUCAAAGCGACAACCACUUCAUGGGUUCCACUGGAGUAAUUUGAUUUUAAGUUAUUUAAUAUCUACUUAACCCAAUCUGAAGCUUUAAUAUACUACCAUCUAAGUGAUGAAAUUUUCAUCUGUUUCUUUCAUCAGUGCCAGUGCCAGGUUAAUUUUCGGAUUCUAUGUUCCGCUUCAUCCUUGAAGCAUACGCAAUUAAAUAUAGUUGGAUUGGUAGUGGGGGUUCCUCUUAAGGUAUUAGUUUAAAAUAAAAUUUUAUUAUUCUACAAAGAGCAUGUCAUAGAGCUUUGAUCGGGUCUUGCCCGGAUUCCAGUACAACGCUUGGACUGGAAAAAGCUAAAAUAUAAUAUAACACAAAACGUAAUAUUUUUUAUAAAUUAUUCAUUUAUUGAAAAAUCAAUAACUUCAUUAAGAUAAUAAUUUCUCUGGAUCUCAAAAGUAUUAUUUAGAAUUAUAAUAGACAAAAUGUAAUAGGAAAAGUUUAUAAUAAGAAAUAAAAUAAUAUUUUAUAUUUUAUAUUUAGUUCUUUAUAACAUAUUUAAUCAUAGGAUAAGUCCCAACAUAACUUAUCUAACAUCACCUCUAUAUUCCUCCUCAUAAAAUAUAAUAAUCAAAGUUGAAUGCAUAUCUUAUAUCUUAUGAAUCCUCAAAAUUUUUAAUUUUGAUGUCAAUUAUUUUUUGUAUAGUUAAGAUAAAGAAAUUUGAAUAUUAAUAUUUUAAAAAAUAAUAAUUUAACAUAUUUCCAAAUAUCUAAAAAUACAAAUUUUUUUUCCUAUUUAUAUAAUGAAGAUAAUAAUUCAAAAGCUAAUAAUUUAAAAGAACAAAGUAAUUUAAUAUGUUUUGAAAUAUGAAAUAUCCCAAAAUUGGUUACAAUAAUUAAAAUUUUAUAAUAUUUAGUGAUUUAAUUGAUUAGUAAAUUGGUCAUUGGUUAAUAAUCUAUAUUUUCCUAUUUUAUAUAAUAAAGAUAUGAUAUUUGAAAAUUAAUAAUUUGAAAAAAAAAUAAUUUAACAUAUUUCAAGAUAUAACAAAAUAGCAAAAUUGAUUACAAUAACAAAAUGUUGGUUAAUGAUUAGUAAUGUAAUUAAUAAAAAAAAUUGAUAAUUGGGUAAUAAUUAUUGUUCCUAAUAAGGUGUCAUCCUAAAAAAAUAUUAAAUCCUUGUAAGUUAAAUUUCAUUAAUUACUUAUUGAUUUUUGUUAAUAAAAUAUGUGUUCAUGAAAUUAAUUUAUUAAUUUCUUGUUCUUAAUUUAAGGAAGGGUAUCAAAUCUUACGAUUUUUUUUAAUUAAUUGGAAUAGUUUAUUCUAGUAGAUAUUUAUAACAUUAUGAGUUGUGUUUUGAACUUCUAACUGAAGAAAAUUCAUUGAUUAUGAGACAAAAAUAUUAGUUUAUGUGGUUGAAUCUUAGUUUGAAUCUUGGAAUUUUAUGGACAUAUUUUAGAUUUGUUUCUUAAUUUAGGACAAAGAUAAAACAUUUUAUAUUUUCCAAAGUGGAAAAACAAACAUUUAUGUUUAAGUUUUAAAGAAGAAAUAUAAACAAGCGUAAGCAAUUAUAUAGUCAAGAAAAUAAACAAGCCGAGAGCAACCUGAGAGCUCAUGGAAAACAAUUGUCUCAAUUUCUUAUUAUUUUUUAUUAUUAGGUGCAAAAUUCUUCGGCAAAAAUCUUGUAGUUGUCUUACAUGCCACCUUGCUAAAAAGUAUAUAAUUAAGUUGAAAAAUAAAGUCUUGGUCAAAAUAAAAAAGCAUGUGGGGGACCUUGUCUCAAAUCAAAAACAAAGGAAAUGAUGUGCGGGGACCUUCAAUGGGGGCAAACUAGUCUAUAAUUAUUCUUUCGCUCAUGCAUUUAUUAUCUUUCUCAAUGUUUUUAGAAUUGGAUUAGAGUUCAAUAAUCUGAAUUAAAUUUUUAGUAGUGAUGUGCCUUGUGGUUAAUUUAACCUCACAAUGAGGUGUUUCACAUAUUUGUGGGAAUAACCAUCCAUAUAUAGUCUAAGGAGACUUGGGAUAUAUUGCAAGUAACACAUGAGGGCUCAAUACCGUGAAAAUAUCAAAACUUCAAAUGCUCAUGGCUGCUUUUGAGUUGAUUCACAUGGCAAUCGGGUAAGAUAUGCUUGAUUAGGAUGGCAAUCGGGUAUGUUUGGAUGUGCCACCCUCAUCCUAAUUCCAUCCUAAUUAUAUAUAUUAUAACAAAAAACAAGAAGGCUUUCUGCUUUCCCAAUAAAUCGAAAAGGAUAACUACAAUUUUAUUUAGAUGCACAAAUUAGCAGCAAAACCUUGAAACUAUGAAUCAAUUUUGUCUAUAUUUUUCUCCAAAAAAUCCUACUUAACGUAAUCAUAGCACAUAUUGUGGGAAUUCCUGACUGAAUAACCAUUCCAAGUUGAGAUGCCCCAUAAAUUGUAAGAUAGUAAAUCUGAAAAAUACCAUUCAGAAAUUACUGAUAAUGGGGCAUAAAUUCUGCAGCUUCAGAUAUAUUAUGUCUAAAUAAGAAGACAAAAAGGAAUCCAAUUAUUAAAAUAGAUAAACGUUUCAAACUGAAAAAUGAAAAUUUAGUAAGCAUGAACCACUCUCUGAAGUCGGUGUGUGAUAAUGGGGAAGGUGAUAAAAAUAGUGUGUGAAUGCAACUUAUAGCUGGUCUUGUUCUUGCUUUUAGCUGAUCUUAUAGUUAAAAUAGUGUGUGAUCGCCCCUAGAUGCCUAGAGUAUUGGCUGAAGGAGGAGAGAAAAGGAAGGACAUCAACUUUCAUAAACGUUAAUCUUCUCCCAGAUGUGUCAUUCUUGAUUACUCUAUUAGAGGUAUUUUAGCAGUCCAUAGUGUGUAAAAUGGUCAAUUCCUUUGUUCAGACAUUUAAUCCAAAUAGUGAAUUUCAAGUGUAGGGGUUUCAAAUUCUCAAAUCCUAAAAAUCCAGAACAAUGUUGCUGAGCACAUUUAAUAUUUUUGUUAAAUAGCACAAAGAAAAAAAGAAAAGAAAAUUGAAAAAAAAAAAAGAAAAAAAAGAAAUCCUCCCAAAGAAUUAAUUUCAGUUGCUUCAAUAACUUUGGCGUACGGAAGUGAGGAGAGAAACAGAGGUGACUUAUCAUUAAUUAUUUUGGCGUACGGAGCCAUUCCUGGUGGCACUUCGGAAAUUUUCCAUAUUGUUACCACUUGUAUUUGGGGCAUAUAUAAGACGGAUCGCACACUUUUUCACCUCAUGCGAUGCCCCUGAUAGACUAAAAGAAGCCUCGAUGUGCUUGAACACACUGGCAUAGGUAGACUUUGAUUUCACAAAUUGACUGCGAGGUUGAUACAUCAUACACACGUGAUCCGUCUCAACAACUCGGUCUCCACUGUGUGUCCAAGUGAUGGAAUGACUGAAAUAAGGCCCUUCCCCGCAUUCAAAAAUACAGCGAAUCUCACCAGGCCGCUGAAUAGUUUCGCCCUCCUCAAGUGCAAACACAGCACAUAGAGCAACCCCCAAGAAGUUAUUGUCAAGCCAAUGUGGACGCAGGGUUGCUGAAACUGAAGCUCCCAUAUUCUCAUGCCAGCGCCCCUUUGGAAUCCUACUUCCAGGAAUCAAAAUACUGUACCCUAUUUCUGGAAAAAGUUUCUGCACCAUGCAGUUUAUAAUGUUAAUAUAAUAAUACCAUUGAGAGAGAGAGAGAGAAAGAAAGAAAGAGAGAGAGAGAGAGAGAGAGAGACCUGAUGAAGUGUCUCUAAUGCCAUUGCCACAUGAUCCUGAUAUAGUCCGGAGCAAUUCCAUAGCAUGAAUUCCACAGGACGAAGCCAAGUGGAAACCAACCGGUGUUGUAGGCUUAUCAUCCAAGAUGGAGUCGAUAAAGACCUCAGGGAUGUGCAAUCACAGGCAUCUAAUAAUUUUAUGUUUGGUGGAAGCUUCGGAAUUUUUUGAAGUUUCUCACACUGCCUCACCAAAAGAACUUUCAGAUUAGAAAGUCUACUGAUGUCUGCAGGUAUGCUAACCAUAUAGUUUCUGCUGAGGUUUAAUACUUCCAGAAGCUCCAAGUGGCAAAGCUUGUUAUCGAUUGUUCCUUCCAUUAAAUUGCAGUCACUUAGAUCUAAAUUUUUCAUGAAGCGUAGACCUGACAAAGAAGGCAAC